GGGUUGGGUAAAUUAUGAAAAUGGGUUAGAUGUGGGUUUUAUAUAGAAAAUAAUUUCAUUAUGGGUUGGGUAUGGUUUACCCAUGGGUCAUGGACAAAACCCCAACACUCAAAUUUUUCAAAUGAAAUAAAUGAAAAUAAAAUAAAUGAACACAAAUAAGUGAAAGGCCACUAUUAAAUUUUUUACGGCGUGAUCAAUUGUCAACAGUUAGAAAAUAAAAAUAACAGUAAAAAUAAAUUUAAAUUAAAUACAUAUUGUUGUAAGUAACAUAAAUUUUUUUUCUUAUUUACAAAAAUAAUUCCUCCCACAUGGAAGGAUCAUUAUAGAAAGAGCAGGAGACUCUACUAGUGAUCAAUAAUAACUCGGCUUGGACUGGGUCCGAUAUGCUAGAUGACGGCUAAUUUUUGGUCAAUAAUUGAAUGUAAUGCCCAUAUUAGGCUUUGUACAAAACUUUGCUUACCAUAUAAUGAAAUUAGAACAUAAAGCAUACACACUAUAUAAUAUCAGAAUGUAAAUAAAAUUAAGGGGAAUUGCCACUUUCCCCCCUACAGUAAUUAACAUAUACCAUUUACCCCAUUUCUAUUUUUAAAUGGCCAAAAAUCCCCCUAACAACAUAAGUUUAUAAUAUUACCCUUAUU
RNAcentral lists this long non-coding RNA (638 nucleotides) under Citrus x clementina. Its description in RNAcentral is "Citrus clementina (C. clementina) long non-coding RNA (CCLE_LNC006858)". The record is from RNAcentral. Lineage: Eukaryota; Viridiplantae; Streptophyta; Magnoliopsida; Sapindales; Rutaceae.